RNAcentral lists this ribosomal RNA (228 nucleotides) under uncultured Lactobacillus sp. RNAcentral describes it as "partial 16S ribosomal RNA". It matches the Rfam family "Bacterial small subunit ribosomal RNA", at positions 138 to 355 of the family's 1533-position model. Lineage: Bacteria; Bacillati; Bacillota; Bacilli; Lactobacillales; Lactobacillaceae. The record is from RNAcentral.
CGGGAGUAACAACCUCGGAAACAAGAAUGCUAAUACCGGAUAACAACAGAUGAUGCCUAUCAACUGUUUAAAAGAUGGUUCUGCUAUCACUCUUGGAUGGACCUGCGGUGCAUUAGCUAGUUGGUAGGGUAACGGCCUACCAAGGCGAUGAUGCAUAGCCGAGUUGAGAGACUGAUCGGCCACAUCGGGACUGAGACACGGCCCAAACUCCUACGGGAGGCAGCAGUU